Molecule: ribosomal RNA, 301 nt
Filed under: uncultured bacterium
Lineage: Bacteria
Description: partial 16S ribosomal RNA
Rfam family: Bacterial small subunit ribosomal RNA
Source: RNAcentral
CAGUAGCCGCGGGAUUACAGAGGGUGCGAGCGUUAAUCGGAUUUACUGGGCGUAAAGCGUGCGUAGGCGGCUUUUUAAGUCGGAUGUGAAAUCCCUGAGCUUAACUUAGGAAUUGCAUUCGAUACUGGGAAGCUAGAGUAUGGGAGAGGAUGGUAGAAUUCCAGGUGUAGCGGUGAAAUGCGUAGAGAUCUGGAGGAAUACCGAUGGCGAAGGCAGCCAUCUGGCCUAAUACUGACGCUGAGGUACGAAAGCAUGGGGAGCAAACAGGAUUAGAUACCCGGGUAGUCCCUGUCUCUUAUAC